Molecule: long non-coding RNA, 754 nt
Organism: Chelonia mydas (Green sea turtle)
Lineage: Eukaryota; Metazoa; Chordata; Testudines; Cheloniidae
Exons: 2
Source: RefSeq, a predicted model, not a curated record
AGCUUGCUUUGUCACAAAGUCAAACACCAGCCCCUGACAUUUGUUCUUUAAUACAUGGAAUGUGGGUGAAGAUGGAGACAGAAGGGCAAGCCAGGAGGUGGAAUGGACACACAGGGCACAGCGGAGAAUGAAGACAAAAACAGAAAGAGAGAGAGAGAGAGAAACAGUGUUUAGAAGAGGACAGAGGCCCAUCUGUCUUAUCCCUUGUGCAGUUUUAUCAUGCAACAAGGAUGUGGGCCCAGAGUCUCCCAUGGGAAUUAGGCACCUAAAUAUCUUUGAGGAUCUGGGCUGUGCUGCCUGGAGAUGCUGUAGGCCCCUCACCCGCUACUGAGGACUGUUAACAGCUGCCAGGAAUAGUGCAAAGCUGGGGAUUUUCAUAAGAGCUGCCACACUGGGUCAGACCAACGGUCCAUCUAUCCCAGUAUCCUGUCUCCAAGAGCGACUGCUUAAAGAGCUUCACGGGGAGUGCACAGAACAGGCCAAGUUUGGAGCGACCCACCCCUUGUCUUCCACUCCUGGCUUCUGACAGUCAGAGGUUUAGGGAGACUCAGGGCAUGGGGUUGCAUCCCUGGCCAUCUUGGCUAAUAGCCAUUGAUGGACCUAUCCUCCAUGAACUGAUUAAUUCUUGUUUGAACCCAGUUAUAUUUCUGGCCUUCACAACAUCACCUGGCAACGAGUUUCACAGGUUAGUUGUACAAUCUGGUGAAAAAGUACUUCCUCUUGUUUGUAUUAAACCUGCUGCUUAUUAAUUUUA